UGUCUUUGGGAUUAGUUUAUACUUCAGAAC
Molecule: non-coding RNA, 30 nt
Filed under: Rattus norvegicus (Norway rat)
Lineage: Eukaryota; Metazoa; Chordata; Mammalia; Rodentia; Muridae
Source: RNAcentral